ACUCUUUUCUGUAAUUGUUGGCUUCUUGCUUGGGGCAAGUGAUGGUCUAGCGAGAUUCAUUCUGUUGAUGCUGUUCAUGAGCUUUUUGAGCAGUUUCCUGAAGCUUUCAUGAAGUAUCUUCAUGUGCCAACCAAAGAGAGUUCUUUUUAUGCUUCCAAUCAGG
Long non-coding RNA from Nymphaea colorata (pocket water lily), 163 nucleotides. RefSeq lists it as uncharacterized. The record is from RefSeq and is a predicted model, not a curated record. Lineage: Eukaryota; Viridiplantae; Streptophyta; Magnoliopsida; Nymphaeales; Nymphaeaceae. The transcript is spliced from 3 exons.